GGAUUGUCCAGCCUCACAGCACUGCAGAGAUCCCAGUGCUGGUGGAAGUGCAGGCGCUGGGCACGCAUCGCACCAAUGUUCUCAUCGGCGUGUUCGGGGAUGAGAGAAACCCACUGAGAAAAAAGUUAUGGAGCUCUGGACGGCUGGCAGAAACCUCCCCAAGCCCAAGGCUGAUGGAGUCUGGCAGGAUCCCAGCACUACAGCCGAUAGAUGAGCUUCACCCACCUAAAUUCAAUCCCCAACCACCAAAGGAGAUGAGAACAUGUUUGGAUUGCCCAGCGUCUCGAUGGAGGCACUUCAAGGCUGGAAAGGAGGAGGCAGCCACAGCCCUGACUGAAGAGCAGGAUUUGACCCAGUCUUCAGGAGUAGAGGCUUCCAGUAUCCUGCCAGUGUCAGGUGUGCUGCAGCCAGGAGAGAGCCAGCAGGUCUCCUUGCCCUUCUCUGGCCACCUCAACAGCAUCUCCAGUGCCACGGCGCUGUGCCACGUGGAGGGAGACCCC
This is a long non-coding RNA of Passer domesticus (house sparrow), 500 nucleotides long. RefSeq lists it as uncharacterized. NCBI's taxonomy places the organism in Eukaryota, Metazoa, Chordata, Aves, Passeriformes, Passeridae. The transcript is spliced from 4 exons. The record is from RefSeq and is a predicted model, not a curated record.